UUCCAGUUUACGCUUAAUCUCCAUUCGGAGAGCGGGGGAACCAUGUACGGUUUUUCGAUACCGUAUUUUGAAUUCUUCAGGGGUGAAUUUCGAAGCCAUUGCCAUGAGCAUUGUGUAACGAAUAGGGCGACUCUCUUGUCCGAAUCCGUCAGCUAACCUCGCAAGCGUUAUAGAGAGUGAUC
Molecule: small RNA, 182 nt
Filed under: Paenibacillus sp.
Lineage: Bacteria; Bacillati; Bacillota; Bacilli; Caryophanales; Paenibacillaceae
Description: c-di-AMP sequence
Rfam family: c-di-AMP riboswitch aptamer (ydaO/yuaA leader)
About the family: This family represents a conserved RNA structure found upstream of the ydaO and yuaA genes in Bacillus subtilis and related genes in other bacteria. The ydaO/yuaA element is thought to act as a genetic "off" switch for the ydaO and yuaA genes in its native state.
Source: RNAcentral